GACGAACGCUGGCGGCGUGCCUAAUACAUGCAAGUCGAACGAACCGCGACUGAGUGCUUGCACUUGGUCAAGGUGAGUGGCGAACGGGUGAGUAACACGUGGGUAACCUACCUCAUAGUGGGGGAUAACAGUCGGAAACGACUGCUAAUAACGCAUAGGACAUAGGAUCACAUGAUCCAGUGAGGAAAGGUGGCGCAAGCUAUCGCUAAGAGAUGGACCCGCGGUGCAUUAGCUAGUUGGUAGGGUAAAGGCCUACCAAGUCGAUGAUGCAUAGCCGACCUGAGAGGGGGGUAGCCGACAUUGGAACGGGGACACGGACCAAGCGCCUACGGGAGGCAGCAGUAGGGAAUCGGCCGCAAUAGACGCAAGUCUGACGGAGCAGCGCGGCGUGAGUGAAGAAGGUCUUCGGAUCGUAAAGCUCUGUUGUGAGAUAAGAACAGCGCAUAGAGUAGCUGCUAUGCGUGUGACGGUAUCCAACCAGAAAGCCACGGCUAACUACGUG
RNAcentral lists this ribosomal RNA (502 nucleotides) under uncultured bacterium. Its description in RNAcentral is "partial 16S ribosomal RNA". It matches the Rfam family "Bacterial small subunit ribosomal RNA", at positions 28 to 507 of the family's 1533-position model. The record is from RNAcentral.